AACGUAGGAGACAAACGUUAUCCGGAGUUACUGGGCGUAAAGGGCGUGUAGGGGGUAUCGUAAGUCUGGCGUGAAAUUUCUCGGCUUAACCGAGGCAGGUCGUCGGAUACUGCGAGGCUAGAGGACGGUAGAGGCGUGUGGAAUUCCGGGUGUAGUGGUGAAAUGCGUAGAGAUCGGGGGGAACACCCGUGGCGAAGGCGGCCAGCUGGGCCGACCCUGACACUGAGGCGCGAAGGCGUGGGGAGCGAACGGG
This 253-nucleotide ribosomal RNA is filed under the name uncultured bacterium. RNAcentral describes it as "partial 16S ribosomal RNA". It matches the Rfam family "Bacterial small subunit ribosomal RNA", at positions 524 to 776 of the family's 1533-position model. The record is from RNAcentral.